AGAUAAUUCUUCAAGACUCAGCUCAGUCUGGCUUCCCCUGAGAAGCUUUUUCUGACACCCGCUCCUCACAAACCUCAGCUCAGAGCUUUUCCUCUCUGCUCUCAGAGGAUGAGCCCGCAGGCUUCAAUAUGUUGUAGAGAUAUCUAGUCCUGGAAUCUUCUAAUCAGAGUUUAAAAAUAUUAGGUUGUUUAAAACUCUGGAGAGAUCAGAAGAGAAUGCUGAUGUCUUGAGCUGCUCACCACACAGAGCCUUUGAGGUUUGGUUUUACCCCAAUUGAGACUGAGAAACUUGUGGACAAUACUGAACUGUCACCAACAUUCCUCACCACCCUUAAAUAAAGACCCAAACUGAAGAGAUGAUAUUAGUGCCUGAGGUUUCCUCAGGCUUAAUUUCUGGGGAGAAGUGAACCAGAACACUUGCUGGUUUUUCAGCCUUUGUGUAUUAUAUCCUGAUCUGCAGCGAGCAUCCGUCCUAUCGAGUGACUGGGGCACAGC
This is a long non-coding RNA of Bos taurus (domestic cattle), 494 nucleotides long. The record is from Ensembl. Lineage: Eukaryota; Metazoa; Chordata; Mammalia; Artiodactyla; Bovidae.